UUAGCACAGUCCACUGGUGUAAGGAAAGCUGUAACAUAUGCUGGUCUGGUUUAUUAUGAGGAAGAUGGUGUAGAGGAUUUGGUGACUUUUACUGCAGCUAAGAAUUUAGAAGCACUCAUUCAUUAUAUUGAGCAGAAGUGCUCUCAAGCUAAAAUUGGACCUGAUAUUUCCUUUAGUUUCAAGUUUCCUUAUGAUUACAUUGAAUUAAACUUUACUGCACCUCAAAAGAAACCAUUCACUGGAUGGACACUUAAUCCUCACACUGAUCCUUGCAGAUUAUAUCAAGAGGCCAUUGAUAAAUUUGGUGAUAAGGAGCAUUCUCGUCCUUCAUGUUGUCUCAUAUCAGUUUACGGAUCACCUGAUGCUGUCCCUUUUCUUAAUUACUUCAUACCACUGGAAGGUGUGGCUCGUCCAGUUUCAUUAAACGUCCAUAAAGCACAAAGAAACUUCACAGUUCC
This is a long non-coding RNA of Amphimedon queenslandica, 458 nucleotides long. RefSeq lists it as uncharacterized. The record is from RefSeq and is a predicted model, not a curated record. The transcript has 3 exons. Lineage: Eukaryota; Metazoa; Porifera; Demospongiae; Haplosclerida; Niphatidae.